Long non-coding RNA from Procambarus clarkii (red swamp crayfish), 1759 nucleotides. RefSeq lists it as uncharacterized. The record is from RefSeq and is a predicted model, not a curated record. Lineage: Eukaryota; Metazoa; Arthropoda; Malacostraca; Decapoda; Cambaridae.
CAGCAUGUAAACAAGAGAGACCAUGCAGGACGCCCGCCACGCCGAACGCUGCUAGUCAUGUAUCAUAAAUAUUAAAGUCAGUAACCAUGCAAUGGCUUUACAUGAACCCAACAACCAAGGGCAUCUACAGCAACACACAACACCACAGGCACUAGCACGAUAUUUGUGGGAGGAGCCGGCCCCUACAAUGUGUGCAGCUAUCCUACACAAUGGGCGCCCGGAGGACCAGGUGACAGACUUGCUCUACCUCGUGGCUUCAUGAGAAAGAGCAAGUUUCAAGUGGAACAGUGUUGCUGUAAAUUCAUGGGUCAGUAGCGACUGACCCCAUUGGCAAGUUUUGCUCUGCUGCUGUGUCUGGUUCAGAGCCAUCCAGAUGUUGAUGGAUGGAGCCUGCCCCUGCGAUGUGUUCAGCUACACAAUGCUCUGCUGGAGGACUAGGUGAUAGACAAUGGCUUCAUGACGUAGAGCAAAACUAGAAGUGGAACAGUGACUCCAAAAACUUGGCAUUAAUCUCAGGGGUCAAUAGCUAGCCACACCACAAGUUUUGCUCUGCUUCUGUGUCUGGUUCACAACUAUCCAGAUAUUUGUGGGUGGAGCCGGCCCCUACAAUGUGUGCAGCUCUCCUACACAAUGAGCGCUCAGAGGACCAGGUGACAGACAUGCUCUACCUCGUGGCUUCAUGAGAAAGAGCAAGUUUCAAGUGGAACAGUGAUGCUGUAAAUUCAUGGGUCAGUAGCGACUGACCCCAAUGGCAAGUUUUGCUCUGCUGCUGUGUCUGGUUCAGAGCCAUCCAGAUGUUGAUGGAUGGAGCCUGCCCCUGCGAUGUGUUCAGCUACACAAUGCUCUGCUGGAGGACUAGGUGAUAGACAAUGGCUUCAUGACGUAGAGCAAAACUAGAAGUGGAACAGUGACUCCAAAAACUUGGCAUUAAUCUCAGGGGUCAAUAGCUAGCCACACCACAAGUUUUGCUCUGCUUCUGUGUCUGGUUCACAACUAUCCAGGUGUUUGUGGGUGGCGUCGGCUUCUAUGAUGUGAGCAGUUCACAUAAACAAUGGCUUCAUAAGGUAUAGCGAGUCUUUACAAGUGGAACAGUCACUCCAAAAAUGUGGCAUUAAACUCGGUGGUCAGUAGGUGGCCACACCAGAAGUUUUGCUCAGCUACUGUGUCUAGUUCAGAUCCAUCAAGGUAAAUAGUGUAACAAAUGGGGGUCUGUGAAUGUAACAAUUAGGGCUAGUGCUCCCAGAUGCAAUGAAUGCCUUGGGCUAUAAAGUGCAACACUAGAUAGGGACAUGAUCUAUUAAAUUUAGAAUUAAAAGCGACUUGCGAGUAUUCUUAUUAUCCAGCACUCGCUCAAAAUCCAAUGGAAAGGUAAUUGUUCUUCCCGCACCUUCAGAACAAUAUUCAGGUAGUAUCCUCAUCUGGACAGCUUCUUUAUGUAUGAUAUGUUUGCUCCAGCAAACAGACACCAUUUAAAAAAAAAAAUCAUAGGCAACAUUCCCGGGUGUGAAAGCCUCUGUACUGAGUGAACAACCAAGGCUGGCACCGCAGCAUGAGCUAACAGUACUGCUGUUAGCUCAUUUAUUUAGUGAUGAUAGUACUACAGACGAGUCUGACUGUGUACAAUGUUCAGAUAAUAGUGAACACAUUGCUGUUAAAGAUGUUCACAGCGCUAGCUACAGCACACUGCCAUUGUUUGGGCAUCUAAGAAUCUUGAAAUGACUAGUCAUGUACCUUUACAAAAUAAACUUAUACAUAUCAA